Molecule: ribosomal RNA, 253 nt
Filed under: uncultured bacterium
Lineage: Bacteria
Description: partial 16S ribosomal RNA
Rfam family: Bacterial small subunit ribosomal RNA
Source: RNAcentral
UACGGAGGAUCCAAGCGUUAUCCGGAAUCAUUGGGGUUAAAGGGUCCGUAGGCGGUUUAGUAAGUCAGUGGUGAAAGCCCAUCGCUCAACGGUGGAACGGCCAUUGAUACUGCUAGACUUGAAUUAUUAGGAAGUAACUAGAAUAUGUAGUGUAGCGGUGAAAUGCUUAGAGAUUACAUGGAAUACCAAUUGCGAAGGCAGGUUACUACUAAUGGAUUGACGCUGAUGGACGAAAGCGUGGGUAGCGAACAGG